AGCCCACCAGCUAGCUCGCACCCUAAAAUGCAACAACCCCGUAUAAAUAAACCCUAAAAACCUUAAAACCUAAAACAAAACAUUUUCCCCCUUAAGUAUGGGCGACAGAAAGAGACCCCGAAGCUAUAGUAAAAGUACCGCAAGGGAAAGCUGAAAGAGAAGUGAAAUAAAUCAGUGAAGCACAAAAAAGCAGAGCUUAACUCUCGUACCUUUUGCAUCAUGAUUUAGCAAGUAAACGUCAAGCACAAAGCAUUUUAGUUUGACCCCCCGAAACCGAGUGAGCUACUUCAAGACAGCCUGAUUAGGGCAAACCCGUCUCUGUGGCAAAAGAGUGGGAAGAUCUUUAAGUAGGGGUGACAGAUCAAUCGAACUUGGUUAUAGCUGGUUGCCCAGGAAUUGGAUAUGAGUUCAGCCUUUUAUCCUCUUCUUACAAAAUGAUUAACAUCUGAUAAACACAAAUAUAGCACACGAGAGGACAAAAGAGUUAGUCAAAGGGGGUACAGCCCCUUUGAAAAAGAUACAACUUUACCAGCAGGGUUAAGAUCAAAAAUCAAUUUAAAGGACCGUGUUCUGGUUGGCUUGAAAGCAGCCACCCAUGCAGAAAGCGUCUGAGCUCAAACAUAUCCUACCCAUUUAUUCCGACUAUAAUUUCUUACCCCCCUAAACAUACUGGGCCUUUCCAUAUUAAUAUGGAAGAGAUAAUGCUAAUAUGAGUAAUAAGAGACCUGCAAUCUCUCAUAGCACAUGUGUACAUCGGAUCGAACCAACACCGACAAUUAACGGGCCCAAAAGAAGAGGGCAAUGGAAUAUCAUGAACUGUUCACUAGAAAACCCCCCAUAACUCAACCGUUAACCUUACACCAGAGUGCAUACAAAGAAAGACUAAAAGAAAGAGAAGGAAUUCGGCA
RNAcentral lists this ribosomal RNA (908 nucleotides) under Pristiapogon fraenatus (bridled cardinalfish). RNAcentral describes it as "partial 16S rRNA". The stretch from base 193 to 709 matches the Rfam family "Bacterial large subunit ribosomal RNA", at positions 573 to 1301 of the family's 2925-position model. The record is from RNAcentral. Lineage: Eukaryota; Metazoa; Chordata; Actinopteri; Kurtiformes; Apogonidae.